Long non-coding RNA from Cervus elaphus (red deer), 780 nucleotides. RefSeq lists it as uncharacterized. The record is from RefSeq and is a predicted model, not a curated record. The transcript has 4 exons. NCBI's taxonomy places the organism in Eukaryota, Metazoa, Chordata, Mammalia, Artiodactyla, Cervidae.
UCAGGUAAGGUGGAUCUUUGGAGUCCACCAUCUUCUUGGUUUGGUGGCUUUCUGAAUAAAGCCGCUAUUCCUUGUCCUAGCAACUCCUCUCUCCAUUUAUUGGCCUGCCUUGCCUUGCCACUCAUGGCGAGCUGGCAGUUGGGGAUUUUGCGGGUAAGGCCCUAGCAGCUGGCAAGACCACUUGCCCUGAGGCUCUUCCUUCAAAACUCCCCAAAGCCUCAUUGGUUGUUCCAGCGCUGGGUAGUUGGAGCAAGGAAUCAAUAUUUGGGAGCAGACAGGCUCCAAACAGUAAGAAAAACUUUACCUCCCCCAGUUCAAAGAGUGAAUUUAAUUGGAGAAGUGAGAAAACACAGAAUUAAAGGAAAACAGUCAAGCAAGACAAAUCGUGGGUCCAUUAGACAAAUGCAACGACCUUUAGCUCCCCAUCAGAGGCCAUAGAUAACAAUGAGUCAAAGUUUUUGAGCUGUUCAGCAGAUGCUGAAAGCCCCAGCAGGUGGAAGAGUUAACUGUAUGCUGCCCACAAGCACAAAAAACCCAGAAAUGGGUUCAGGGAACUAAUCUGCCAGCCAAGAUGAUGAAGCCGGGAGCAGCCGUGCUGCGGAGCUGAGUCGGUGCCCUGCGGAGCGCAGAGACAGCGGCCGGGGGCGGCGAAUUCUUCACCACUGAGCCACCUGGGACAUGUGGAAGCCCAAGACAAUGGAUUACCAAAUGACUAAUUUGAACUGGUGUCAGGGAAUAGAAUAUGAGUUAUCUUCAAGUAAUUGAAGGGCUAUCAUGUAG